This is a long non-coding RNA of Puntigrus tetrazona (Sumatra barb), 224 nucleotides long. RefSeq lists it as uncharacterized. The record is from RefSeq and is a predicted model, not a curated record. NCBI's taxonomy places the organism in Eukaryota, Metazoa, Chordata, Actinopteri, Cypriniformes, Cyprinidae. The transcript is spliced from 3 exons.
UCAAGUCAACCUGUAUUUCGUAAGACAACAUUCUCACUAAUUGCAUUACCCGUUGUCUCUACAAAAAAAGUCUGAUCUAUGCAGUGACGGUGGACACCGUCCUCAGCAACAGAAAGAACAUGGUUGAGGAACAGCCCAUCGAGAGGACAGAGCAAAUCAGGAGUGAGCCGACUGACGACCAGAUGACCGAAGUUGCCAUCUCAGAAAACUAUUUGUUCGAAGGG